Molecule: microRNA, 23 nt
Filed under: Monodelphis domestica (gray short-tailed opossum)
Lineage: Eukaryota; Metazoa; Chordata; Mammalia; Didelphimorphia; Didelphidae
Description: Mdo-Mir-7371-P8-v2_3p (mature (guide))
Source: RNAcentral
AUGAAGCGACUUGUGCAAAUGAA